GUACCAAACCCGGGGUCCUCGUUCCCACCCGGUGACGGCUGUUUCUGAUUAGCUUGGAGCCCACUGCCCUGACGAAGAAUGGGCGCCUCUUGGGGGCGCUGUGAAGGACGGAAAAAAAGAGAAUCCUUUGGGCAAAAAAGAAGGUACGAGACACGAGUUGCUUUCAUAAAUAGAGUGACAGCGAUGAAAAUACCUUCCAGCUGGGACCAAGCAGCCUCAGCUUUUCUAUGUGGUGGCUUCACUCACCGUUGAAGACCCAGCAAGGCGGAGGUCCUGAAUCCCGCCACUUCCCUCUCCUGCUUGGAUACCUACAGCGUUCUCCUAUAUUCAGUGCCUGUCUAAAGGCACUCCAGAACCCCGCAUGUCUGUUCUCCACACUGCAGCCAGACUGAUAUUUCCAAAG
Long non-coding RNA from Zalophus californianus (California sea lion), 403 nucleotides. RefSeq lists it as uncharacterized. Lineage: Eukaryota; Metazoa; Chordata; Mammalia; Carnivora; Otariidae. The record is from RefSeq and is a predicted model, not a curated record. The transcript is spliced from 3 exons.